Glycine soja is the source of this 420-nucleotide long non-coding RNA. RefSeq lists it as uncharacterized. The transcript is spliced from 2 exons. NCBI's taxonomy places the organism in Eukaryota, Viridiplantae, Streptophyta, Magnoliopsida, Fabales, Fabaceae. The record is from RefSeq and is a predicted model, not a curated record.
UUCACCCUCAGUUGACCUAAACAUGGCAUUUGGAGCUCACAAUGGCGUGUGCUUUUCCUUAUUUUUCAUAACUUUCUUGGUAAUAUUUUCUGCCACUGCUCGAAGCCCUAGUCACUUCUCAAAUGAUGAAGUUGCUUCGAGCAUGGUGGGGAGGUCAUUGAAGGUAAUAAACCUUGAAGACUAUGGUGGACCAACUGCAAUUCGUGAGCACGAUCCAUGGAAGGGGGCUAGUCGGGGAGGUAAUGCAGGGCGAAAAGGCUGAGCCUGAGAGAUUAUUGGAAAUGUAUAAUAGUUUACCUUAUUUCAGUUAAUGCAGUCAAUGCAAUAUAUACUUAACCUUUUAUAUUAUAAACAUAUGUACUUUUGAGGUCGAUGAAGAGUAAAAUAAUUUCUCUGGAAGAAUGGGAAGAUUUAAAGGAA